AUUGAACGCUGGCGGCAGGCCUAACACAUGCAAGUCGAGCGGAUGAAGGGAGCUUGCUCCUGGAUUCAGCGGCGGACGGGUGAGUAAUGCCUAGGAAUCUGCCUGGUAGUGGGGGAUAACGUCCGGAAACGGGCGCUAAUACCGCAUACGUCCUGAGGGAGAAAGUGGGGGAUCUUCGGACCUCACGCUAUCAGAUGAGCCUAGGUCGGAUUAGCUAGUUGGUGGGGUAAAGGCUUACCAAGGCGACGAUCCGUAACUGGUCUGAGAGGAUGAUCAGUCACACUGGAAGUGAGACACGGUCCAGACUCCUACGGGAGGCAGCAGUGGGGAAUAUUGGACAAUGGGCGAAAGCCUGAUCCAGCCAUGCCGCGUGUGUGAAGAAGGUCUUCGGAUUGUAAAGCACUUUAAGUUGGGAGGAAGGGCAGUAAGUUAAUACCUUGCUGUUUUGACGUUACCAACAGAAUAAGCACCGGCUAACUUCGUG
This 484-nucleotide ribosomal RNA is filed under the name uncultured bacterium. RNAcentral's name for it is "partial 16S ribosomal RNA". It matches the Rfam family "Bacterial small subunit ribosomal RNA", at positions 30 to 507 of the family's 1533-position model. The record is from RNAcentral.